This 1012-nucleotide long non-coding RNA is filed under the name Phoenix dactylifera (date palm). RNAcentral's name for it is "long non-coding RNA (PDAC_LNC015260)". Lineage: Eukaryota; Viridiplantae; Streptophyta; Magnoliopsida; Arecales; Arecaceae. The record is from RNAcentral.
UCGACUAUAGGUGUCCUGCAGAUACUGCCAAGCCAUGCAUAAAUGCCAUAAUGCACCCUCCCAAUACUCUACUAAAAAGAAGCAUAAUCAAGACUACCACUCACUCGGCCACGACCCAAUUAUAACUAACAUCAUGGUUGGGAGUGAGGAAUCACGGGAGUACAAUGCAACUCAAUAUAUCAUGAGAAGGGCUCUACAAGUCUUUAAAAUAGAGAAAAUGAAAUCAAUUUACAAAAGAAGUCAUUUCACAAUUCAGAUCCAAUUUAAUUACUCAUAAAGGAGUAUAAUCAAAGCUACCACUCACAAGUCUUUGAAAUAGAGGAAAUGAAAUCAAUUUACAAAAGAAAUCAUUUCACAAUUCGAAAUUAAUUUGAUUACUCAUCAACCCCUCGUAAUUCCUCUCAAUGUUCCCUCAAAUGCAUGUACAAAAUAAUCAAGCAUAGAGAAUCAAGAUUAUAGAGGAAUCUACUACAACAAUUAAUCGAUAAGCUCAGGUGGAAUCAAGUCACACUUGGCAACAUUCAUGAAAAUGAAUAAGGAAUGUGCUCAUGGUGCAAAGUACAAACUUCCACUCACCUGUCAAUCCAGCACAGCCCUGAUACCCCUCCAAAAAUCUACAGCAGACAGUGGGAAACUUCUUCCUCUUGUUCCCUAGCUUCUUGCCCAACUGUGACAUGCAUUUACAAUACAUUUAGUCUUGUAUCAAGGGCUAUAAUCUACGUGCCAAUUAUAAUAUAGGAGACUUUAAUUGAUUCAACUUCCCCGUUCCCUAAAUCUUUUUUUCUUUCUUUUUUUCUUUUUCUAUUAAUUAACUCACCAUUUAUGUGUAUUAGGGACUUCCUUGCAUGAGUACAAGGUCCCCUUAGCUUAAUCUGGGCUUAAUACCCUAUUAUGGCAUGAAAUCCCCUAUUUUCCCACUCGGAUGAACAGUAACCCGGACCGACAGCCGGUUACUUCAUCCUAGGUUUGAUCCACUUUCCAAACUCCAAAUUUGAUGAAAUUUUUACCUAAC